GAUGAAGAACGCAGUGAAAUGCGAUAAGUAAUGUGAAUUGCAGAAUUCAGUGAAUCAUCGAAUCUUUGAACGCACAUUGCGCCCCUUGGUAUUCCGGGGGGCAUGCCUGUUCGAGCGUCAUUUCAACCCUCAAGCUCUGCUUGGUAUUGGGCUCCGUCCUCCUCGGACGCGCCUCAAAGACCUCGGCGGUGGCGUCUUGCCUCAAGCGUAGUAGAAACACCUCGCUUUGGAGUGCAUGGCGUCGCCCGCCGGACGAAACCUUUUGUAUUUUCUCAAGGUUGACCUCGGAUCAGGUAGGGAUACCCGCUGAACUUAAGCAUAUCAAUAAGCGGAGGA
This 336-nucleotide unclassified non-coding RNA is filed under the name soil metagenome. RNAcentral's name for it is "partial contains 5.8S ribosomal RNA, internal transcribed spacer 2, and large subunit ribosomal RNA". The stretch from base 1 to 120 matches the Rfam family "5.8S ribosomal RNA", at positions 35 to 154 of the family's 154-position model. The record is from RNAcentral.